Molecule: ribosomal RNA, 301 nt
Filed under: uncultured bacterium
Lineage: Bacteria
Description: partial 16S ribosomal RNA
Rfam family: Bacterial small subunit ribosomal RNA
Source: RNAcentral
CAGCCGCCGCGGUAAUACGUAGGUGGCAAGCGUUGUCCGGAAUUAUUGGGCGUAAAGGGCUCGCAGGCGGUUUCUUAAGUCUGAUGUGAAAGCCCCCGGCUCAACCGGGGAGGGUCAUUGGAAACUGGGAAGCUUGAGUGCAGAAGAGGAGAGUGGAAUUCCACGUGUAGCGGUGAAAUGCGUAGAGAUGUGGAGGAACACCAGUGGCGAAGGCGACUCUCUGGUCCAUAACUGACGCUGAGGUGCGAAAGCGUGGGGAGCAAACAGGAUUAGAUACCCCUGUAGUCCCUGUCUCUUAUAC